Gasterosteus aculeatus aculeatus (three-spined stickleback) is the source of this 1233-nucleotide long non-coding RNA. The record is from Ensembl. NCBI's taxonomy places the organism in Eukaryota, Metazoa, Chordata, Actinopteri, Perciformes, Gasterosteidae.
CCGCUGGAGCAUGCGGUCCCGCGUGGACCUGGGCCGCCGUCGUGGUGAUGACAGGUGCCACAGGUGCUGCUGCUGCUGCGGCGGGCUGAGGUGAGUCUGGGCGUCUCUGGGCCUCGAUAGUGUGUGUGGGCGGUGCGUUUACCGGUUCCGCUCUGGCCACAGGUCUCACUCGCCUCAGGGGAUGACUCGCCGGGUCGGUCUGGGCCGCUGGUGCUGCUGUUGUCGCCGGCGCCGCCGCUGCAGGGGCCUGUAUUGGCUCAUCUACCGCCAGACCGGCCAUCCAGUCCACAAUUGUCUCUCUGGCCUCUUUUAAUGUGUCCGGGCCGAGUCUGCGGCCAAACUGCCUUUUGGCCCAGGCUGCCGCCACCUCGAACGGGUCACUCCACUCAGGACUAUUGAGUCUGUGAAGGUUCCGGAUUUCCUCCUUUAUCACAGACUCAUAGUGGUCCUGUAAAAUGACCAACGCAGUGUGCUCCCAGUUCUUAGCGUUGCCGUCAAUAAGCAUCUGCGUGGCCGUGUUGGGAAUAGCCGGCUUAAUGAAUGCGGCUAACUGCUGGGUCAUUCUAGAGAUCGUGACCGGUGGGUGUGUUAUAACAAUGUUAGAAAAAUGAUGUGCCGCUUUAAUGAUCUUAUGGAGGAUCCGGCAUUUAACAGUGAAAAGUGGGUCGUCAGAUCUGGGCCUAUUCUGAGCGCCCUCAUUGUUCUGGUUCUGGUUUCGCUGGUACCGUGUGUUAUUGCUAUUUACGUUGCUAUUGUUAUUGCUAUUAUUAUUAUAGGGGGGGCGUUGAAAGCGGGAGUCGAAGGACCGGGGCUGUGCGGGUCUUGGACGGGGACCGCGGUUAGCGGGACGUCCCGUGUACCUGUCAUCCUGGCCGCCAUCAUAGCGCCACCGCGGGGCGCCUCCCCGAUCCGCGGGUCUCCGGACAGCGUUCGCGUAGGUGUCGCGUGGAUAGCGGGGCUGCUGUCGCUGGAAACGUGGCGGUGCGUUCUGCUGAAAGCGGGGCUGUUGCGGCUGGAACUGUUGCGGGGCUCGGCGCUGGUCCUGUGGCGGAGCGUGCUGAUUGCGGCGCCUACCGCGUCUGCCGUACUGCACCAGCGUCCACUCGCCUUCAUCCUCCCGGCCACGCCCGUACAUGUCGCUAGCUAGUGAAGCCUCGUGUUCACUAGCCACGAAAAAAAAGGCGAAGGAAAAGUUGUUCUUUUUACCUUUUACUUAACCGGAACAAUAACAAC